This 465-nucleotide ribosomal RNA is filed under the name uncultured Lactobacillus sp. RNAcentral describes it as "partial 16S ribosomal RNA". The record is from RNAcentral. Lineage: Bacteria; Bacillati; Bacillota; Bacilli; Lactobacillales; Lactobacillaceae.
GACUACCGGGGUAUCUAAGCCUGUUCGCUCCCCAUACUUUCGAGCCUCAGCGUCAGUUACAGACCAGACAGCCGCCUUCGCCACUGGUGUUCUUCCAUAUAUCUACGCAUUUCACCGCUACACAUGGAGUUCCACUGUCCUCUUCUGCACUCAAGUUUCCCAGUUUCUAAUGCACUUCUUCGGUUAAGCCGAAGGCUUUCACAUCAGACUUAAAAAACCGCCUGCGCUCGCUUUACGCCCAAUAAAUCCGGACAACGCUUGCCACCUACGUAUUACCGCGGCUGCUGGCACGUAGUUAGCCGUGGCUUUCUGGUUGGAUACCGUCAAAGGACUAACAGUUACUCUAGUCCCUGUUCUUCUCCAACAACAGAGUUUUACGAUCCUAAAACCUUCUUCACUCACGCGGCGUUGCUCCAUCAGACUUUCGUCCAUUGUGGAAGAUUCCCUACUGCAGCCCCCCGUAGG